This 2839-nucleotide ribosomal RNA is filed under the name Sulfitobacter sp. M39. RNAcentral's name for it is "23S ribosomal RNA". It matches the Rfam family "Bacterial large subunit ribosomal RNA". Lineage: Bacteria; Pseudomonadati; Pseudomonadota; Alphaproteobacteria; Rhodobacterales; Roseobacteraceae. The record is from RNAcentral.
GAUCAAAUCAAGCGCGAAAAGGGCGUUUGGUGAAUGCCUUGGCAGUAAGAGGCGAUGAAAGACGUGAUACUCUGCGAUAAGCCAUGGGGAGCUGAGAAUAAGCUUUGAUCCAUGGAUUUCUGAAUGGGGCAACCCACCUGAUACUUUGUUAUUACUGCUCUUCGGAGCAGCUAAUAAUGAGGUAAACCAGGUAUUUAUAGACUGAAUACAUAGGUUUAUAAAAGCAAACCCGGGGAACUGAAACAUCUAAGUACCCGGAGGAAAGGAAAUCAAUUGAUACUCCCCUAGUAGCGGCGAGCGAACGGGGACCAGCCGAGCCAUGAGUGUGGUUAGAAUGCGUUGGAAUGCGCAACCAAAGUGGGUGAUAGUCCCGUAUAAGAAGCAUGAUUGGACGUAUUAAGUAGGGCGGAACACGUGAAAUUCUGUCUGAAGAUCGGAGGACCACCUUCGAAGGCUAAGUACUCCUUACUGACCGAUAGUGAACCAGUACCGUGAGGGAAAGGUGAAAAGCACCCCGACGAGGGGAGUGAAACAGUACCUGAAACCGAACGCCUACAAUCAGUUGGAGGGACUUUACGUCCUGACAGCGUACCUUUUGUAUAAUGGGUCAUCGACUUGGUCUCACAAGCAAGCUUAAGCCGUUAGGUGUAGGCGUAGCGAAAGCGAGUCUUAAUAGGGCGUUGAGUUUGUGGGAUCAGACCCGAAACCGAGUGAUCUAGGCAUGGCCAGGUUGAAGAUAAGGUAACACUUAUUGGAGGACCGAACCCACAUCCGUUGAAAAGGAUCGGGAUGAGCUGUGCCUAGGGGUGAAAGGCCAAUCAAACUCGGAGAUAGCUGGUUCUCUGCGAAAUCUAUUUAGGUAGAGCGUCAUCCGAAUACCCUCGGGGGUAGAGCACUGGAUGGGUAAUGGGGCCCCACAGGCUUACUGAUCCUAACCAAACUCCGAAUACCGAGGAGUACUAGAUGGCAGACACACAGCGGAUGCUAACGUCCGUUGUGAAGAGGGAAACAACCCUGACCUACAGCUAAGGCCCCUAAUUCAUGGCUAAGUGGGAAAGCAGGUGAGACGACCAAAACAACCAGGAGGUUGGCUUAGAAGCAGCCAUCCUUUAAAGAUAGCGUAACAGCUCACUGGUCUAAAUAAGUUGUCUUGCGGCGAAGAUGUAACGGGGCUCAAGCCAUGAGCCGAAGCUUAGGAUGCAUUAAUUGCAUGGUAGCAGAGCGUAGUGUGACAUAGUUCCAUGUCUCCUUAGCCCUUCGGGGUAUUGGAGACGCGGAGCUUUCUGUGAAGCCGGCGCGUGAGCGAUCCGGUGGAGAGAUCACUAGUGAGAAUGAUGACAUGAGUAGCGACAAAGAGUGUGAGAGACACUCUCGCCGAAAAUCCAAGGGUUCCUGCUUAAAGCUAAUCUGAGCAGGGUAAGCCGACCCCUAAGGCGAGGCCGAAAGGCGUAGUCGAUGGGAACCAGGUUAAUAUUCCUGGGCCAGAUGGAAGUGACGGAUCUCGAGGGUAGUUCAUCCUUAUCGGAUUGAAUGGGCUGCUUAGAGGUCCCUGGAAAUAGCUCCAUCGCUAGAUCGUACCCUAAACCGACACAGGUGGAUAGGUAGAGAAUACCAAGGCGCUUGAGAGAACUAUGUUGAAGGAACUCGGCAAAAUACCUCCGUAAGUUCGCGAGAAGGAGGCCCGGUUUCUAGGCAACUAGAGGCUGGGGGCACAAACCAGGGGGUGGCGACUGUUUAUUAAAAACACAGGGCUCUGCGAAGUCGUAAGACGACGUAUAGGGUCUGACGCCUGCCCGGUGCCUGAAGGUUAAAAGGAGGAGUGAGAGCUCUGAAUUGAAGCCCAGGUAAACGGCGGCCGUAACUAUAACGGUCCUAAGGUAGCGAAAUUCCUUGUCGGGUAAGUUCCGACCUGCACGAAUGGCGUAACGACUUCCCCGCUGUCUCCAACAUAGACUCAGCGAAAUUGAAUUACCGGUCAAGAUGCCGGUUACCCGCGGUUAGACGGAAAGACCCCGUGCACCUUUACUACAACUUCACACUGGCAUUAGGCCGAACAUGUGCAGGAUAGGUGGUGGGCUUUGAAGCGUGAACGCCAGUUUACGUGGAGCCUCCCUUGAGAUACCACCCUUGUUCUGCUUGAUGUCUAACCGCGGUCCGUUAUCCGGAUCCGGGACCCUGUGUGGUGGGUAGUUUGACUGGGGCGGUCGCCUCCUAAAUCGUAACGGAGGCGCGCGAAGGUUGGCUCAGAGCGGUCGGAAAUCGCUCGUUGAGUGCAAUGGCAGAAGCCAGCCUGACUGCGAGACUGACAAGUCGAGCAGAGUCGAAAGACGGCCAUAGUGAUCCGGUGGUCCCAAGUGGGAGGGCCAUCGCUCAACGGAUAAAAGGUACGCCGGGGAUAACAGGCUGAUACUGCCCAAGAGUCCAUAUCGACGGCAGUGUUUGGCACCUCGAUGUCGGCUCAUCUCAUCCUGGGGCUGGAGCAGGUCCCAAGGGUACGGCUGUUCGCCGUUUAAAGAGGUACGUGAGCUGGGUUUAGAACGUCGUGAGACAGUUCGGUCCCUAUCUUCCGUGGGUGUAGGAUACUUGAGAGGAGUUGCCCCUAGUACGAGAGGACCGGGGUGAACGAUCCACUGGUGGACCAGUUGUUAUGCCAAUAGCAGUGCUGGGUAGCUAUGAUCGGACAGGAUAACCGCUGAAGGCAUCUAAGCGGGAAGCCCCCUCAAAACAAGGUAUCCCUGAGAGCCGAGAUAGACCAUCUCGUCGAUAGGCCAGAGAUGUAAGCGUAGUAAUACGUUCAGUUGACUGGUACUAAUUGCUCGAUAGGCUUGAUUUGAUCCAG